AUGUUGCACAGCAUGGCGGGUAUGAGAAGCCCCGACCGGGGUUCGACUACUGGCGCAGCCAGUUGGACAGACUGUGAGCACAGCGAACAGGCUGCCCGCAGGGCGAGCGAAGCGAGUCAAUCCCCGCCUCACCGCCA
RNAcentral lists this small RNA (137 nucleotides) under Citrobacter freundii. Its description in RNAcentral is "RtT sRNA". It matches the Rfam family "RtT RNA". Rfam says of the family: This family represents a bacterial cis-regulatory element known as RtT RNA. The record is from RNAcentral. Lineage: Bacteria; Pseudomonadati; Pseudomonadota; Gammaproteobacteria; Enterobacterales; Enterobacteriaceae.